This 468-nucleotide ribosomal RNA is filed under the name uncultured bacterium. RNAcentral describes it as "partial 16S ribosomal RNA". It matches the Rfam family "Bacterial small subunit ribosomal RNA", at positions 28 to 507 of the family's 1533-position model. The record is from RNAcentral.
GACGAACGCUGGCGGCGUGCUUAACACAUGCAAGUCGAACGGAAAGGCCCUGCUUUUGUGGGGUGCUCGAGUGGCGAACGGGUGAGUAACACGUGAGUAACCUGCCCUUGACUUUGGGAUAACUUCAGGAAACUGGGGCUAAUACCGGAUAGGAGCUCCUGCUGCAUGGUGGGGGUUGGAAAGUUUCGGCGGUUGGGGAUGGACUCGCGGCUUAUCAGCUUGUUGGUGGGGUAGUGGCUUACCAAGGCUUUGACGGGUAGCCGGCCUGAGAGGGUGACCGGCCACAUUGGGACGGAGAUGCGGCCCGGACUCCAAGGGGAGGGAGCGGUGGGGAAUAGAGCACAAGGGGCGGGAGCCUGAUGCAGCAACGCCGCGUGGGGGAUGACGGCCUGGGGGUUGGAAACCGCUUUCGCCUGUGACGAAGCGUGAGUGACGGUAAGGGGUAAAGAAGCACCGGCUAACUACGUG